AGUGUGCAUAUAUCGAGAAUGAUGUUUUCGCAGCAUCUGGUUCUUAUUUUGUUGUCCAUAUGUUUAAUGCCACAAAUUAACUUUUCAUAUCAGCUACAAGAUACAAUUCACACUUUGAGAGAGGAGAACAUGUACCUACAUCACAGACUGAAAAACCUGACUCAGACACUGCAAGAGCUGAGAAAACUUCUGGAUCACUCACAGGAGUCUGCGUUGAAUCAUGAUAGUGACACGUUGCAUGCCUGGAAUGAGUGGAUUAAGAAUGGAAUCAGCACAGAGACUCGUCUCAUGUUAGAACAAGCUUUCUGCCUGCCAGAUCUUCAUGCCAAUGCGAAUUUAUAUUUCCGAGAACCAAUUCUUCUUGUUGUGUCAUGUCUCCUUUGGACUGGGAUCCUUCUCAUGUAAAUAUGGUCAUUAUAUUCUAAUCUAACCUUCUAACCUUCUACGAUUCUACAUUUUUCUAAUUCAAGUUUGUAAAUAUUGACACUAAAUAUUAACAAUGAGGUUUAUUUUGUUAACAUUAGUUAACCACAUUCCACAGCAUAUAUUAAUCUUAAUUUACAAAUAUAAGUUUUUUUUAAUCAAAAGUAGUAUACUAACAUUAAUUCAUGUAAAGAAUGUAUUGUUUUAUAGUAUUCAUGUUAGUUAAUGCAUUGUAAUGUUUACAUAAGCGACCUUAGUAAAGUGUUACCAAAUAAAUAAAGUCUUUCACAUUUUACAUAUUAAUCUCAAUUAAAUAGUCAUUUUAUUGAUUAGUCAGCUGAUUUAGACAUACCCCCACCACCCUCCCACCACCAUGCAUUAACUUUUUUUGAUUUCAACAUUUUACAUUGGGUUGUCUAUUAAGGUCACAUAACUUUGAGAAACAAUCAAUAGCCUCUAUUAUUCAUAUUCUAAUGAAGCCUGUUAUUAAAUCUUGUAUGACGAGUGCAAAUAAAAGAGGUUCAUUUGUGAGAAAACUUUA
This is a long non-coding RNA of Carassius gibelio (silver crucian carp), 964 nucleotides long. RefSeq lists it as uncharacterized. The record is from RefSeq and is a predicted model, not a curated record. NCBI's taxonomy places the organism in Eukaryota, Metazoa, Chordata, Actinopteri, Cypriniformes, Cyprinidae. The transcript has 3 exons.